RNAcentral lists this ribosomal RNA (1137 nucleotides) under uncultured organism. RNAcentral describes it as "bacterial SSU rRNA". It matches the Rfam family "Bacterial small subunit ribosomal RNA", at positions 273 to 1416 of the family's 1533-position model. The record is from RNAcentral.
GCAAUGAUGGCUAGGGGUUCUGCAAGGAAGGCCCCCCACACUGGUACUGAGACACGGACCAGACUCCUACGGGAGGCAGCAGUGAGGAAUAUUGGUCAAUGGAGGCAACUCUGAACCAGCCAAGCCGCGUGAAGGAAGACAGUCCUAUGGAUUGUAAACUUCUUUUGUGGCAGAAUAAACUACCGUACUUGUACGGUAUUGCAUGUAUGCCAUGAAUAAGCAUCGGCUAACUCCGUGCCAGCAGCCGCGGUAAUACGGAGGAUGCAGGCGUUAUCCGGAUUUAUUAGGUUUAAAGGGUGUUCAGGCUGCCUGGUAAGUCAGGGGUGAAAGUCGGUUGCUCAACGAUCGAAUUGCCUUUGAAACUGUCAGGCUCGAGUAUGGAUGCGGUAGGCGGAAUGUGUAGUGUAGCGGUGAAAUGCAUAGAUAUUACACAGAACACCGAUUGCGAAGGCAGCUUACCAAACCAGCACUGACGCUGAAGCACGAAAGCGUGGGGAGCGAACAGGAUUAGAUACCCUGGUAGUCCACGCCGUAAACUUUGCUCACUCGCUGUUGGCGAUAGACAGUCAGCGGCCAAGGGAAACCGAUAAGUGAGCCACCUGGGGAGCACGGCCGCAAGGUUGAAACUCAAAGGAAUUGACGGGGGCCCGCACAAGCGGUGGAACAUGUGGUUUAAUUCGAUGAUACGCGAGGAACCUUACCUGGGCUUAAAUGUGAAGUGCAUUGAUUGGAAACAAUCAUUUCCUUCGGGACCCUUUACAAGGUGCUGCAUGGUUGUCGUCAGCUCGUGCCGUGAGGUGUCGGGUUAAGUCCCAUAACGAGCGCAACCCCUAUUGUUAGUUACCAGCGCGUAAAGGCGGGGACUCUAGCGAAACUGCCGGUGUAAACCGCGAGGAAGGUGGGGAUGACGUCAAAUCAGCACGGCCCUUAUGUCCAGGGCUACACACGUGUUACAAUGGCCGGUACAGCGGGCAGCUAGGCAGCGAUGUCAUGCUAAUCCCGAAAGCCGGUCCCAGUUCGGAUUGGAGUCUGCAACCCGACUCCAUGAAGGUGGAUCGCUAGUAAUCGCGCAUCAGCCAUGGCGCGUGAUACGUUCCCGGCAUUGACACACCGCCCGUCGAGCCAUGGAAGUCUGGG